This is a non-coding RNA of Thermoplasmatales archaeon E-plasma, 236 nucleotides long. NCBI's taxonomy places the organism in Archaea, Methanobacteriati, Thermoplasmatota, Thermoplasmata, Thermoplasmatales. The record is from Rfam.
CAAGUUUGGUAUGGGAAAUUACCUGUUUAUCCCAUCAGCAGGGGAUACAUGCUUCUCAGUGAUGAGGGGUAUGAAGUUAUCUUAUCUGCAAAAUCACAGGCUGCAGCGAGAGCGAACGAAACAUAACACCGUUAGCUUUGAACGGGAAGGCCGAAUCCGUGUGGUUUGGAUGAAGGCUAACACAGAGGCAAUAAACAACGGGCUUGAUGCCUCUGCUUCCCCGGUGUCGUGUCGGC